CAAAUACUCCCUCCGUCCGGAAAUACUUGUCAUCAAAAUGGAUAAAAGGAAAUGUAUCUAGAUGUAUUUUAGUUUUAGAUACAUCUAUUUUUAUCCAUUUUGAUGACAAGUAUUUUCGGACGGAGGGAGUAGAAA
Triticum aestivum (bread wheat) is the source of this 135-nucleotide non-coding RNA. NCBI's taxonomy places the organism in Eukaryota, Viridiplantae, Streptophyta, Magnoliopsida, Poales, Poaceae. The record is from Rfam.